UACGGGGGGGGCAAGCGUUGUUCGGAAUUACUGGGCGUAAAGGGCUCGUAGGCGGCCAACUAAGUCAGACGUGAAAUCCCUCGGCUUAACCGGGGAACUGCGUCUGAUACUGGUUGGCUUGAGUUUGGGAGAGGGAUGCGGAAUUCCAGGUGUAGCGGUGAAAUGCGUAGAUAUCUGGAGGAACACCGGUGGCGAAGGCGACAUCCUGGACCAACACUGACGCUGAGGAGCGAAAGCCAGGGGAGCAAACGGG
Molecule: ribosomal RNA, 253 nt
Filed under: uncultured bacterium
Lineage: Bacteria
Description: partial 16S ribosomal RNA
Rfam family: Bacterial small subunit ribosomal RNA
Source: RNAcentral